CCUACGGGAGGCAGCAGUGGGGGAUAUUGCACAAUGGGGGGAACCCUGAUGCAGCGACGCCGCGUGGGUGAAGAAGCGCCUCGGCGCGUAAAGCUCUGUCAGCAGGGAAGAAAAUGAUGGUACCUGAAGAAGAAGCCCCGACUAACUACGUGCCAGCAGCCGCGGGAAUACGUAGGGGGCAAGCGUUAUCCGGAUUUACUGGGUGUAAGGGGGGCGCAGACGGCGAUGCAAGCAAGGAGUGAAAGCCCGGGGCCCAACCCCGGGACGGCUCUUGGAACUGCGUGGCUGGAGUGCAGGAGGGGCAGGCGGAAUUCCUGGUGUAGCGGUGAAAUGCGUAGAUAGCAGGAGGAACACCAGUGGCGAAGGCGGCCUGCUGGACUGCAACUGACGUUGAGGCCCGAAAGCGUGGGGAGCAAACAGGAUUAGAUACCCGUGUAGUC
RNAcentral lists this ribosomal RNA (440 nucleotides) under uncultured bacterium. RNAcentral describes it as "partial 16S ribosomal RNA". It matches the Rfam family "Bacterial small subunit ribosomal RNA", at positions 338 to 795 of the family's 1533-position model. The record is from RNAcentral.